RNAcentral lists this ribosomal RNA (247 nucleotides) under uncultured bacterium. Its description in RNAcentral is "partial 16S ribosomal RNA". It matches the Rfam family "Bacterial small subunit ribosomal RNA", at positions 118 to 347 of the family's 1533-position model. The record is from RNAcentral.
UAGGUAACCUACUCCCGAGUGUGGAAUAACCUGGCGAAAGCCGGGCUAAUACCGCAUAACGUCCUCGAGUCUCCGGACCUGGGGAACAAAGGCGGCGAGCUUCGAGCGCUGCCGCUUGGGAAGGGGCCUGCGUCCCAUUAGCUAGUUGGUGGGGUAAUGGCCUACCAAGACUACGAUGGGUAGCCGGGCUGAGAGGCUGUCCGGCCACACUGGAACUGAGACACGGUCCAGACUCCUACGGGAGNAG